GCAUCUUGAUUUAAUUUUGAACGAGUGGCGGACGGGUGAGUAACACGUGGGUAACCUGCCCUUAAGUGGGGGAUAACAUUUGGAAACAGAUGCUAAUACCGCAUAAAUCCAAGAACCGCAUGGUUCUUGGCUGAAAGAUGGCGUAAGCUAUCGCUUUUGGAUGGACCCGCGGCGUAUUAGCUAGUUGGUGAGGUAACGGCUCACCAAGGCAAUGAUACGUAGCCGAACUGAGAGGUUGAUCGGCCACAUUGGGACUGAGACACGGCCCAAACUCCUACGGGAGGCAGCAGUAGGGAAUCUUCCACAAUGGACGCAAGUCUGAUGGAGCAACGCCGCGUGAGUGAAGAAGGCUUUCGGGUCGUAAAACUCUGUUGUUGGAGAAGAAUGGUCGGCAGAGCAACUGUUGUCGGCGUGACGGUAUCCAACCAGAAAGCCACGGCUAACUACGUGCCAGCAGCCGCGGUAAUACGUACGUGGCACGCGUUAUCCGGAUUUAUUGCGCGUAAAGCGAGCGCAGGCGGUCUUUUAAGUCUGAUGUGAAAGCCCUCGGCUUAACCGAGGAAGUGCAUCGGAAACUGGGAAACUUGAGUGCACAAGAGGACAGCGCAACUCCAUGUGUACCGGCGAAAUGCGUACAUAUAUGGAACAACACCACCGGCGAAGGCGGCUGUCUGGUCUGCAACUGACCCUCAGGCUCGAAAGCAUGGGUAGCGAACCGCAUCACAUCCCCCGGCCCUCCCUGCCGCACCGAUGAAUG
This 757-nucleotide ribosomal RNA is filed under the name uncultured bacterium. Its description in RNAcentral is "bacterial SSU rRNA". It matches the Rfam family "Bacterial small subunit ribosomal RNA", at positions 69 to 815 of the family's 1533-position model. The record is from RNAcentral.